UGCCAAAACUUGGAAGCCACCAAGAUGUCCUUCAGUAGGCGAGUAGAUAAAUAAGCCACAGCACAUCCAGACAAUGAAAUAUUAUUCAGCGCUAAAAAGAAAUGACUAUUAAGCCAUGGAAAGACACGGAGGAAGCUUAAAUGCACAUUACUAAGUGAAAUAAGCCAAUCCGAAAAGGGUACAUACAGUAUGAUUCCAACUCUAUGACCUUCUGGAAAAGGCAAAACUAUGGAGACAGUAAAAAGGUCAGUGAUUGCCAUGGGUUGGGAGUGAGGAGAAAAACAGGUAAAACAUAGAGAAUUUUUAGAGCAAAAAAAAAAAAAAGAAAAAGAAAGAAACUUAUGGUUACCAAAGGGGAAAAGGGGGAGGGAUAAGGUAGGAGGUUAGGAUUAAUAAAUACACACUACCACAUAUAAAAUAGAUAAAGAACAAGGACCUACUGUAUAGCACAGGGUAAUCUACUCAAUACCAUAUAAUAACCUAUAUGGGAGGAGAAUCUGAAAGGGGAUUUUUGCUCUAAUUGUUUUUGUUUCUGCCCCCAUGAAACACCUAUGAUUCUAAAGAGAAAUCACUGAUCCUCUGUUUCCCCGCCCCUGACCUUCACUUUCAGUACAUGGGGUUUUUUAAUUGAUAUCUUUUCCUCAUGAACCUGGGAAAGUCUCCCAUGUAUGCAUCAGGUGUAAAUUAUGCUUUUUACUGCCACUGUAUUCUUCAUUGCUUUGUUAACUUCCAGUGUCUCACCAUUAUACUUUUGGUUUAGGCAUUUCUGGAAGCACUUUUAUUUUAAAACCAUUGUAGAGAAAAGACGAGAGUGAUCUGUUGUCUGAAAUUCCAGGAAUUACACUAUCCAUCUGUAUUAAAAACAAAACAAAACCCUCAAAAAAAGUAGAAGACAAAGAUCCAGUAAAUCAAUAUGUUUCUUAUAUGUGAAAUGAAUUACUGAGUCAUCAUGAAUAAACUAUUACCAUCUCCUACAUGAGACCAUUUCGUAUCUUUUUUCAAUUAUCUAAAAUUUGCUUCACCAACUUUAAUAUUUGCAAAAACAGUAAUGUUUAAAUUUCAGACUGAUAAAUACAAGCUCUCUAACAAAAUAACUUGACAAGGGUAUCCAUUUUCUUUGCUUUGAAUGACAGGAAAACAUAAGAGAGGACUUUGUCACUGAUGACGAAGAAGAGAGACUAAUAAAAUUUCAGGAAUAGAGAACUUCACCUCUAGCUAAUUCAUCCGCUAACAAAAGUCCUUUCAUAGUUUAUUAAUUCAUAAACUCAGUGUUCUUAUAAAACAGGGCAGAGAAUUUGCCACACAAUGUCUAAAUAAACAUGAUAUUUUUAGGUUCAAAAGAUGUGCUUUCUAGUAGUAUUCCUUAAGACAGAAUCUCUUUUUAGAGGAAGACGUAUUUCUUUUUUUUUAACUGUAUUGGAGUAUUUGUUGACUUAUAAUGUUGUCUUAGUUUCAGGUGUACAGCAAAGAGAAUUGGUUGUAUGUAUAAUAUAUCCAUUCCUUUUCAGAUUCUUUUUCCAUAUAGGUCACUAUGAGCAUUGAGUAGAUUUUCCUGUGCUAUACGGCAGUUCCUUGUAACUCACGCAUUCCAUAUGUGUAUAUGCCAAUCCUAACCUCUCAAUUUAUCCCUUCCCCCAACAUUUCCCUUCUGGUAACCGUAGUUUGUUUUUGAAAUCUUUGAGUCUGUCUCUUUUGUGAAUAAGUUCUUUUGUGUCAUUUUUCAUUGGAUUCCACAUAUUAAUGAUCUCAUAUGAUAUUAGUCCUUCUCUGUCUGACUUAACUUCACUUGGUAUUAUAAUCUCCAGGUCCAUCCAUGUUGCUACAAACAGCAUUAUUUCAUGCUUUUUAAUGGCUGAGUAAUAUUCCAUUGUAUAUGUACCAUAUCUUCUUUAUCCAUCCCUCUGUUGAUGGACAUCAAGUGUGCUUCCAUGUCUUGGCUGUUGUAAAUAGUACUGCAAUGAACACUGGGGCUCAUGUACAUUUUCAAAUUAUGGUUUUCUCCAGAUAUAUGCCCAGAAAGGGGAUUGCUGGAUAUACAAUAGUUCUAUAUUUUAUUUUUUAAGAAACUUCUAUACUGUCCUCCAUAGUGGCUGCACCAAUUUACAUUCCCAUCAACCAUGUAGAAGGGUUCCCUUUUCUCCACACCCUUUCCAGCAUUUAUUGUUUAUAGACUUUUUGAUGAUGGACAUUCUGGCUGCUGUAAGGUGGUAUCUCAUUGUAUUUUUGAUUUGAAUUUCUCUGAUAAUUAGUCUUAUUGAGCACCUCUUCCUAAGCUUUUUGGACAUCUGUCUGUCUUAAGAAGACAUGUAUUUCUGAUUUCAUAUUUUCCCUUUGUAAAAAGGGGCUUAUACUAUUUUCCCACACAUGCAUUUUCUUCCUAUCAGUCUUUUUUCUCCUUGUGAUUUUCUAUUUCAUAGAGGUUUUUUUGUUUUGUUUUGUUUCGUUUUUUUGUCUUUUUGCCAUUUAUUGGGCCACUCUCGUGGCAUAUGGAGGUUCCCAGGCUAGGGGUCUAAUCGGAGCUGUAGCCAGCGGCCUAUGCCAGAGGCUCCAGCUCCAAUUCGACCCCUAGCCUGGGAACCUCCAUAUGCCGCGGGAGUGGCCCAAGAAAUAGCAAAAAAAAAAAAA
RNAcentral lists this long non-coding RNA (2625 nucleotides) under Sus scrofa (pig). RNAcentral describes it as "lncRNA (ENSSSCG00035066011.1)". The record is from RNAcentral. Lineage: Eukaryota; Metazoa; Chordata; Mammalia; Artiodactyla; Suidae.